RNAcentral lists this ribosomal RNA (467 nucleotides) under uncultured bacterium. RNAcentral describes it as "partial 16S ribosomal RNA". It matches the Rfam family "Bacterial small subunit ribosomal RNA", at positions 28 to 506 of the family's 1533-position model. The record is from RNAcentral.
GACGAACGCUGGCGGCGUGCUUAACACAUGCAAGUCGAACGGAAAGGCCCUGCUUUUGUAGGGUGCUCGAGUGGCGAACGGGUGAGUAACACGUGAGUAACCUGCCCUUGACUUUGGGAUAACUUCAGGAAACUGGGGCUAAUACCGGAUAGGAGCUCCUGCUGCAUGGUGGGGGUUGGAAAGUUUCGGCGGUUGGGGAUGGACUCGCGGCUUAUCAGCUUGUUGGUGGGGUAGUGGCUUACCAAGGCUUUGACGGGUAGCCGGCCUGAGAGGGUGACCGGCCACAUUGGGACUGAGAUACGGCCCAGACUCCUACGGGAGGCAGCAGUGGGGAAUAUUGCACAAUGGGCGGAAGCCUGAUGCAGCAACGCCGCGUGCGGGAUGACGGCCUUCGGGUGGUAAACCGCUUUCGCCUGUGACGAAGCGUGAGGGACGGGAAUGGGGAAAGAAGCACCGGCUAACUACGG